Ornithodoros turicata is the source of this 1897-nucleotide long non-coding RNA. RefSeq lists it as uncharacterized. The transcript is spliced from 3 exons. Lineage: Eukaryota; Metazoa; Arthropoda; Arachnida; Ixodida; Argasidae. The record is from RefSeq and is a predicted model, not a curated record.
ACGCGACACCAUCCCUGCGGUCCACGUAUGCGCGGACGUCGUGUGUUGACAUGCCUCCACAGAAGCGAAAUCAAAGCGAAGGCUCGAUUUACGAAUGUUCGAGAGAAAAUACUUGCGAGGUGGACACCCCUCGUGUAUGUCGAAGUGAUUCCGGAAAGGAAACGGCGGAGCCAACUCAAUCUGACUCAACUUUCUCAGCUGUUCGCGCUUCAAUGCCGAAGCGAAGCUCGAAGGAGUUUUGUUCCGUGCCGCAGUGUUCUUCUGCAAGGUGGAAAGAUAAAACCAUAUCUUUCCAUCACUUUCCACAUGACGACGAAAGCUGUCAGAACGACCCACAUCGUCGUACGAACCGCCGGAAAACGUGGAUACAGAGGCUCCGAAUUGGAAAGCCGGUUUCGAACACCAUGCUCGUUUGCUCGAGGCACUUCGAACCACAUGACUACAUCCUGCCAGGCAUACCAACGAAAACUAGACGUCUGAAAAGGAACGCAGUGCCGAGUGUAAACCUUCCCAAGACAUCAACCUUUGAUGCCCGUCGUGCUGAGAAAACUGCUACACUGAGUGCGGGAAGGCUUUUACGGAGGCAGCAAAGGGAUGAGACUAAAAGCCAGAGCGACAACGUGCAGUGUGCAGAUUGUACACACACGCUUGAAAGCAGCACGGCACAUAGUGAAGAGAAGGUGACUCAACAUUCCACCAUUGAAAAUGAAAUUGCAGAGUUGUUGGUUGACUUAGGAAGUUGAACACCCAAUCAGGAAGAUGACAUGACAGAAGACAAGGGUAUUCCAGUUACCUCGGGGGACGUUAGCGUGAAAUCCAUUUCAACGUUUGAUGAUACAAACAUUGUGUCGUUUACUGGCCUCCUGUUUGUGGCUCUUCUGGAUGCACCAGUAUUGUGCUACGAACAAAUUGUUUCACUCUCUGGGAAGCAUCGCCUCACAACAGAAGAAAGAACUGUCCUCACUACGAUGAAGUUAAAGCAUAACAUGUCAACCGCAUUUCUAAGCAAUCUCUUUGGCUGCUCUGUUGCCACAUGGUCAAACAUAAUUACACAGACAGUGAAGGCUUUAUUGAGAAUCUUCUCAUCAGUUGUAGUGCUCCCAAGUAAAGAUGAAAAAUUCUAAUGAACAUGCCAAAAACAGUUCAAAAAGUACCAGACUGUUUAAAUAAUUUUGAAUUGUACAGUCUCAGCUAAAAUGUCUAUAACCUGUACAGCUAAUGUGUACUCCUAUUACAAGAAAGGUUUCACGUGUAAGUUCAUGAUAGGAGUCGCACUUGGUGGCAUUGUUGCUCAUGUCUCUAAAGGAUACAGUGGAAAAGCAUCAGAAAAAAAACGAAAGAUUUUUUAACGCAGUUGCCUAGGCUGACCACCGUACUUGUUCCACUUGUAUCGCCACUGGGGUGACAGGAGCAAGGACUGGCACGAUGAUUGCUUAGAAAAUUGUAGUGUUUCAGUGAAUUUGGUCAUCCUACCUGCUUGCAGAGUAGUAAAGUGCACGAUUGUAGUGUGCCAUCUUUCACAACAUGCAGGAUGUCAUCGAUGCAGAUGUUUGUAUUUUCCAACAUGUCCUCGGGAAAAUUCUAGUCAGGUCAGCUGAAAGUACAUGUUGAAGCAAUGUCAACCUGUUAGCUUCUCUUGCUGAAUGUGAAGAAAAAGCCCAUUAGAUACGUGCUGCGUUGAAAACGUUGUAGCUGUUCUUAUGCUUCGAUCGACGCCGUUUGUGACCAGUGCUCAGGAUCUCGUGGAUACGUGCCUCUUUUUGAGGCGAUGUACUAUAAUUCCGAGUUUUUCUUUUAUGUUUCAUAGUAAGUCUAUAUCUACUAGGACGUAGUGUUUUUUUUCCUCCGAAAUAAAAUAUGCUUACGUUUUGUGGUAAGCUGCAUCACAUUCUUAAGA